Bos taurus (domestic cattle) is the source of this 338-nucleotide long non-coding RNA. Lineage: Eukaryota; Metazoa; Chordata; Mammalia; Artiodactyla; Bovidae. The record is from Ensembl.
GGGUCAGGAAUAUCCCCUGGAGAAGGAAAUAGCAAUCCACUCCAGUAUUCUUGCCUGGAGAAUCCCAUGGACAGAGGGGCCUGCUGGGCUACAGUCCCUGGUGUUGCAAAGAGUCAGCUAACACUUUCAUCUGCCCUCCAGGGAGUACCCGCCACAUUGUGAUCUGGACUCCCCUGAUGAUGGUAGCCUAGACUGCCUCCAACUUCUCAUCACCGUGAAACGAUGGGGCCAUGAGCCUCCUUGCACAUGCCACUAGGGACCUGUGAAAGAAUUUCUUUGGGAUAUGUGCCCAGGAAUGAAAUUACUGGGUCACAUGGGAAAUACAUUCUUCAUUUAAC